GCAGGAACAGAGCUGUAACGGGGCGCACCUGUUCUGAUACACCUGGCCAGGUUGUUGGGAAGAAGUGUUGAGCUGAAGAGCAGACAGGUGCCUGGGAGGGGCUGACGUGGUGCCCGCGAGGCAGGGGCAGCAGGGGGGUCACAACCCAACCGCCCUGCUCACUCAACGCUCCAACUUCCAGUUCCCUUUGCGAGUUAUUUCGUUUUGUUUAGAACUGUUUUGAAUGUAAGGUCGAUCUGACCACAGUACGUCUCUAGUGAUUACCUAGAUUGAACCAGCAAAAACAGCAGCUUAGGUUGGUGCCUUCUCUCUCUCUCAUAUUCCGCGGGCAGCUUUCUCGAAGCUACAAGCUCAGCGGAGGACCACGGGGAAAGGUGCCGUACUAGGAGAGACCUUUCUCAGAAAGACACGCCAUCCUGCAGCCGAGGCCACCACCGGCAGUGAACCCCGGUUUGCGUGCCUCCCGGGCAUGGGUGCUACUGCCUCUCUCCCGUCCUAGGACUCACGGGCAGUGCCUGCUCAGGACCCUGGGCUGGCUGAGUGUCUAAUCGACGUUGGAAUUAGGGGAGGAGGGCGCUGCCGGGGAUACACGUCUCUCCACUCCGCACGGAGCACAGCCUGGGUGGAGGAGGACAGGUGUUGAGACGGUGACUUAGCCUUUGGCCUAAAAUGCUGUCGUCACAGUCUUCGUCGCGCUCACCCCAUCUCGUGUUUGACUUUGGCCGUGUACUUAGUAAUCUAGCUUCAACUCACCCUAGAGGCGAGAGGAAGUGACGCGACUAUGGCAGGAGAAAUCUGGAAAUCUGGAAAUCCAAGGAUAGCACUAGCCUCUGGUAAAUUCCAUGUUUCUGGUCACUCUUAUGGACAAACCAUUCCUAAUUCCCCAACAGCCAUGGGUGCCCCGCUGCUUCCCGGAGGGGCUUGGAGAUCUGAGGCAUAGCGUACAGAGCCCAGAUCGCUGUGGGCUCGGGAGCCUCUUUCCCCGCGACCAGGUGAGACUCGGACUCUGGGGGACUCAGGCCGUGUGUGAAGGCCUGGCGCACAGCAGAGGUACCACCUCACUUCACAGGCCUGAGAGUGAAGCUGUGACAAAGCCACUCUAUCUGUCUGGACCACACAGAGAUAUCACAGCAAAGCAAAAGACAACAUAUUCUUAAGAACAUUCCUCUUGUUCCUGUCCUUUUUGUUUGUUUAUUUGUUUGUUUUGGUGGUGGUAGGAAGGCUUGGUAAAAAUGAAGAGGGCUCCAGGGGAAAGCAAGAAGAACUAAUGUUUGGAUGCUAGGAAGGAGGAAAAGUCCUCAGUAAGAGGGUCCGCUGGCUAAAAUGCCCAAACACGAAGGAUCUAAAGCUAGUGGACGUCAUCAGAGAGCAAGGUGUGGCGCUGGUGGGAAGACAUUCCCAUCACCCCUGGGAGAGAAGGGUGGUUUACUAAAGCGGGCCGGGGAACAUGCCUCUGUAAAUUCACAAAGCCCUCUGGUCCGCUACAGGAGAAUAAAGGGCAGAGAAUAAACCCCAGACAAGGAUUCACUGGUCUCGCGGACAGAGGUUGGAAAUGGACUUCGAUGCUCAUGUACCACCUUUGAAAUAUUUCUGGCGGGAGCUCGGAGGAUCCAGAGGAAUGACCAAGUUACCUGCUGAGUCAGGGCUUGUGGACUUUCGCGAGGAGGCACCACUACCGUCUCUGCGAGGAACUCUAGCUGGAAAAUGCAAGCUCUCAGCAGAGGAAAUGCAACCUUCCCUUCUCUGGGCUAGAAGGGUGGUCGUGGAAGGCUGGGGGAAAUGAUGGCGUGGUCUCUCUCUGGUAGGCAGAUCUGUUUCCUGAGUCCCUGAGCUGCAGCUGUUGAGUUUCCAGACACAAACAAGUACGUAUUCUGUGAGCCUCGCUGAGGCCACACAGCAAGGAAGAGCCAAGCUGGAUUCCAUUCUGCUUUGCGCAUCAGCAGCCCAGCUGCCAGCUGAACUCCAGGGCAAGCUCUGCGCCUGGUAACGAUGCAGAGGCUCUAGGUAAGCCCGGCCUCCCACUCACUAAAAGCCGGCAGUCGGGGAAAAGUGGUCCGCGGUGUCCACGACCACCGUGUAGAGUGUGCACCACAAGAAGACGACCAGCUGAGGGCACGAAUGUCAUUUCUUGAUGUCGUCUGUUCCUUUUCGCCCACUAUGACCAAGGACUGAGCUCCCUCUACGCCAGACCAUAUGGAAGUCGAGCUGGGGGCUUCAUCUGACCAGGAAGAGAUGAGGUGACAUGGAGGGAAGAUGGGGUUUGGGAGGCUCUCAGGCAGGUUUCAGGUGGCUAAGUGGGGAAGGUCAGACUAUGUAAAAGGGCUGAUUGGGACAGUUGCAACUCGCCUGGGUCAAAAGAGUUGUGAGCUGGGAAUGACAUUUGGCGUGGAGAGAAGGAGCUGAGGUCAUUGGUAUGAUGUUACUUGGAAACAGGUGCAGCAUUCCUCAGAUGCGAGGAGAAUCUUGUAUCUCUGCCUGGUCAGUGUGUACAUGUGAGGAUGAGGACAUGUGCAGAGUGGCGUGGCAUGGGCUUUCUCGGGAAUAACGUUGUGUUACCUCAGAGCUGGAAGUUUCCACUAGAGCAGUGGUUCUCAAAGUGCGGUCCCCAACCUAGCAGCCUCCACGUCACCUGGGAACUUGUUAGAAAUGUGGAUUCUCAGGCCCCUGAUCCGCUGAAUCGGAAACUCUGGGGUGAGGCGCAGCCAUCUGUGUUUCAAGCAGCCCUUUAGAUGACCCUAAUGCCCACUGAAGUUUGAGAACCACUGGUCUAGAUUAUGCAGAUAAAGACUUGCCUGAAUGACCUGGAUUCAGCAGACGUGAGAACUCGGGGGAGGCCCCAGAGGUGCCAGCUUCCCUGGCUGUGCUCAAGGUGAGCCGACCUAGUUUUAGCCUCUGUCCUCGGGCCCUGGGUCCCCUGCUCUUUCCGAAGAAAUACCG
Molecule: long non-coding RNA, 2937 nt
Organism: Orcinus orca (killer whale)
Lineage: Eukaryota; Metazoa; Chordata; Mammalia; Artiodactyla; Delphinidae
Exons: 3
Source: RefSeq, a predicted model, not a curated record